Molecule: ribosomal RNA, 467 nt
Filed under: uncultured bacterium
Lineage: Bacteria
Description: partial 16S ribosomal RNA
Rfam family: Bacterial small subunit ribosomal RNA
Source: RNAcentral
GACGAACGCUGCGGCGUGCUUCACCCAUGCCAGUCGCACGGAAAGGCCCUGCUUUUGUGGGGUGCUCGAGUGGCGAACGGGUGAGUAACACGUGAGUAACCUGCCCUUGACUUUGGGAUAACUUCAGGAAACUGGGGCUAAUACCGGAUAGGAGCUCCUGCUGCAUGGUGGGGGUUGGAAAGUUUCGGCGGUUGGGGAUGGACUCGCGGCUUAUCAGCUUGUUGGUGGGGUAGUGGCUUACCAAGGCUUUGACGGGUAGCCGGCCUGAGAGGGUGACCGGCCACAUUGGGACUGAGAUACGGCCCAGACUCCUACGGGAGGCAGCAGUGGGGAAUAUUGCACAAUGGGCGGAAGCCUGAUGCAGCAACGCCGCGUGCGGGAUGACGGCCUUCGGGUUGUAAACCGCUUUCGCCUGUGACGAAGCGUGAGUGACGGUAAUGGGUAAAGAAGCACCGGCUAACUACGUG